This 492-nucleotide ribosomal RNA is filed under the name uncultured bacterium. RNAcentral's name for it is "partial 16S ribosomal RNA". It matches the Rfam family "Bacterial small subunit ribosomal RNA", at positions 29 to 507 of the family's 1533-position model. The record is from RNAcentral.
AGUGAACGCUGGCGGCAGGCCUAAUACAUGCAAGUCGAGCGACCGCACAGUAAGCGCUCGCCCCUACGGGUGGCGAGUGACGGACGAGUGAGGCAUAGAUAGCCUACUUCUUUUUCGUGGGGGACAACGUGGGGCAAGUUCUGAUACUACCGAAUAUGACGAACGGGAGAAAGCAAGAGAUAUUCGGACCUUGCGCGUUUGAUUGAGCCGGAGUCGGAUUAGCUAGUUGGCGGGGUAAAGGCCCACCAAGGCGACGAUCCGUAGCUGGUCUGAGAGGAUGAUCAGCCACACUGGAACUGAGACACGGUCCAGACUCCUACGGGAGGCAGCAGUGGGGAAUAUUGCACAAUGGGCGCAAGCCUGAUCCAGCCAUACCGCGUGAGUGAAGAAGGUCUUCGGGUUGUAAAGCCCUUUUGUUGGGAAAGAAAAGCAGCAGGUGAAUACCCCGCUGUUUUGACGGUACCCAAAGAGUAAGCACCGGCUAACUUCGUG